UCCAUAUUAUGACAAGAACAGCUCAAAUAAGCAAAGAGAAACGACAGUCCAUCAUUACUUUAAGACAUGAAGGUCAGUCCAUCAUUACUUUAAGACAUGAAGGUCAGUCAAUACAACAGUCCAUCAUUACUUUAAGACAUGAAGGUCAGUCAAUACAACAGUCCAUCAUUACUUUAAGACAUGAAGGUCAGUCCAUCAUUACUUUAAGACAUGAAGGUCAGUCAAUACAACAGUCCAUCAUUACUUUAAGACAUGAAGGUCAGUCCAUCAUUACUUUAAGACAUGAAGGUCAGUCAAUACAACAGUCCAUCAUUACUUUAAGACAUGAAGGUCAGUCAAUACAACAGUCCAUCAUUACUUUAAGACAUGAAGGUCAGUCAAUACAACAGUCCAUCAUUACUUUAAGACAGGAAGGUCAGUCAAUACAACAGUCCAUCAUUACUUUAAGACAUGAAGGUCAGUCCAUCAUUACUUUAAGACAUGAAGGUCAGUCAAUACAACAGUCCAUCAUUACUUUAAGACAUGAAGGUCAGUCAAUACAACAGUCCAUCAUUACUUUAAGACAUGAAGGUCAGUCCAUCAUUACUUUAAGACAUGAAGGUCAGUCAAUACAACAGUCCAUCAUUACUUUAAGACAUGAAGGUCAGUCAAUACAACAGUCCAUCAGUAC
Molecule: long non-coding RNA, 670 nt
Organism: Oncorhynchus keta (chum salmon)
Lineage: Eukaryota; Metazoa; Chordata; Actinopteri; Salmoniformes; Salmonidae
Exons: 4
Source: RefSeq, a predicted model, not a curated record